UUUUGCUGCCUCAGUUAGGUGUCGCUAGUGAUGGUGACAUAACUGAGGUUGCAUAUGGUGUGGCCCUGCCAACCAAAGAGGGCCAAACAGUGCAUUCGAUGCCUGUUACAAGUGGCCACAUAAGUGUGACCGUAGAAACUAUUCUAAAGAGAUUUGAAGAUUUCUCACUCCCGGUUUCAAUGCUAGAAUGGAGCCUUGAGAAACUAUCAGACGCCCUAGGUAGUUUCGUCACGGCCAUAUGCUUAGGUCCGAUUCACUAACAUGCAAAAGAGUCCAAAGGGAUCAAGGAGAGAGAUCGGUUCCUCAGCAAAGAUGUCGACUGGGUCAAAGUCGAUGGCAAUCACUCUAAUUUUAACUGAUGCGGAGCUAAAAGAUCUCUCUCAAGAUUGCAAAUGGCUUCACACUUGUGCAUCUCGCAUAAAUGAUGAGGACCCAAUCAUUCUUAAACUGCAGAAGGAACAAUUCUGCUUUGUGGAGAGCCCAUUUGUAAUUAUUGGUCCUAGUGACAUUGGGCAUUUUUUAGUGGAGAGAUGUUGAACGUAGCUCUUAUCCAUGUCUACAUGAGUGCGGCUUACAAGGAGCUAAAUUCUUGCGAUCCUCCAAUAAAAAAUUGGAUGGUUUUGUCCUAAGUCGAUUUAGGGUACUAAAAGCGUAAAUGAUCCAGAUGACGUCAAAGCAUACAUUGAGACUACUUUGAAUAAUUCCCUUGCAUCUAAACACACGUUCAA
This is a long non-coding RNA of Amaranthus tricolor (Joseph's coat), 728 nucleotides long. RefSeq lists it as uncharacterized. The transcript has 3 exons. The record is from RefSeq and is a predicted model, not a curated record. NCBI's taxonomy places the organism in Eukaryota, Viridiplantae, Streptophyta, Magnoliopsida, Caryophyllales, Amaranthaceae.